Molecule: non-coding RNA, 45 nt
Organism: Schistosoma mansoni
Lineage: Eukaryota; Metazoa; Platyhelminthes; Trematoda; Strigeidida; Schistosomatidae
Source: Rfam
AUUCAGUUGAGGAGUCCCGAAUCGGACGAAACGCGCGUCCUGGAU